AUGAAUAGGAAAUCUGUAGGUCCUGAUUCGAAGAUCAAGCACAUCAAGAAUCGGGUUAAAAGGGAAGUCGGUUGAAGUCCGACACGGUCCCGCCACUGUGAAAUGGGAAUGACCUCAGUUGCCACUGUUCCAUGCGAUGGAAUGGGAAGGCGAGGACAUAUACAAGCCCAUAAGUCAGGAGACCUGCCUAUAGAUGCGAUACACA
RNAcentral lists this non-coding RNA (205 nucleotides) under Paenibacillus selenitireducens. The record is from RNAcentral. Lineage: Bacteria; Bacillati; Bacillota; Bacilli; Caryophanales; Paenibacillaceae.